GGGCACAUCUCGUUGAAAUACCAGUUCCCGUACGAUCACCGAAGUUAAACAAUGUCGAGCCCAGUCAGUACUUCGAUGGGUGACCGCUUCCGAAUAUGAG
Molecule: non-coding RNA, 100 nt
Organism: Acanthosepion pharaonis
Lineage: Eukaryota; Metazoa; Mollusca; Cephalopoda; Sepiida; Sepiidae
Source: the annotation of a GenBank genome assembly